UGGGGAAUUUUGGACAAUGGGCGCAAGCCUGAUCCAGCCAUGCCGCGUGAGUGAAGAAGGCCUUCGGGUUGUAAAGCUCUUUCGGCGGGAACGAAAUAGCGCGGGCGAAUAUCCCGCGUCGAUGACGGUACCCGAAGAAGAAGGACCGGCUAACUACGUGCCAGCAGCCGCGGUAAUACGUAGGAUCCGAGCGUUAAUCGGAAUUACUGGGCGUAAAGCGUGCGUAGGCGGCUUCGCAAGUCCGAUGUGAAAUCCCCGGGCUUAACCUGGGAACUGCGUUGGAAACUAUGAAGCUAGAGUGCGGCAGAGGGGGGUGGAAUUCCGGGUGUAGCAGUGAAAUGCGUAGAUAUCUGGAGGAACACCAAUGGCGAAGGCAGCCCCCUGGGUUAGCACUGACGCUCAUACACGAAAGCGUGGGGAGCAAACAGGAUUAGAUACCCUGGUAGUCCACGCCCUAAACGAUGGCAACUAGUUGUUGGGGGAUGAACUCCCUUAGUAACGCAGCUAACGCGUGAAGUUGCCCGCCUGGGGAGUACGGUCGCAAGAUUA
Molecule: ribosomal RNA, 549 nt
Filed under: uncultured bacterium
Lineage: Bacteria
Description: bacterial SSU rRNA
Rfam family: Bacterial small subunit ribosomal RNA
Source: RNAcentral